AUAGUGCGCAUGCUUGAGCCCACUUACCUAACACCUGAGAUCUUAUUGGGACGCUGCUGAUAACCAGUUUCAGAGACAGGGUUUCACCAUGUUGUACAGGCUAGUCUCCAACCCCUGGGCUUAAGCAAUCCUUCUGCCUCGGCCUCCCAAAGUGCUGGGAUUACAGAGAUGCUCAAGCACUGAAUUGUCUUAAGAAAACAAGUAAGGUUUUGUCACCUAUCCUAUUUCUCACUGCAAGUUGAAAAAAAUCAAAUCCAAACACCACCACCCCUUCUAUGACAACAAACGGCUGUGGAGGUAAAUGACUAUGUGGGCAAAGAGUUGAUGAAAAUCAUGAGCUUAGGGGCUUUAUGAAACUUUGGGAAAUCAAACUCAGAGGUUGUUUUCCAUUCUUAAAGUAAUGAAGCUCUAAGUUAAAGUUUCAGAAUCAUCACAUAACUGUUCCUAUUCCAUAACUCAUUUCUUUUUUUUUUUUGCAGGUAAUCUUAUUUUCCUAAGGGUAGUUUCAUGAUGACAGUGUCAAAAAAUUACUGUGGAUAAAGAAAAAAUUGUCUCAAUGAAAUAGAAUUUUUCACUGAACACAGAAACCAUCUCAAUAGUUGCUGCUCCCUGGUUUCCAGGCCACGCAACAGACAUCAAACCAGGAAGCCAAACUUUCAUGGACCUGU
Molecule: long non-coding RNA, 668 nt
Filed under: Homo sapiens (human)
Lineage: Eukaryota; Metazoa; Chordata; Mammalia; Primates; Hominidae
Description: non-protein coding CERS6-AS1:9
Source: RNAcentral